This 266-nucleotide ribosomal RNA is filed under the name uncultured bacterium. RNAcentral describes it as "partial 16S ribosomal RNA". It matches the Rfam family "Bacterial small subunit ribosomal RNA", at positions 355 to 617 of the family's 1533-position model. The record is from RNAcentral.
UGAGGAAUAUUGGUCAAUGGGCGCAAGCCUGAACCAGCCAUCCCGCGUGCAGGAAGACGGCCCUAUGGGUUGUAAACUGCUUUUCCAGGGGGAGAAACUUGCGCACGUGUUGCGCAAUUGACGGUACUCUGGGAAUAAGCAUCGGCUAACUCCGUGCCAGCAGCCGCGGUAAUACGGAGGAUGCGAGCGUUAUCCGGAUUCAUUGGGUUUAAAGGGUGCGUAGGCGGACUAUUAAGUCAGUGGUGAAAUCCUGCAGCUUAACUGGA